GUCUGCAGCCAUAUCACCCUGCAACUCACUGAAGCUCAGCAGGUGUUAGCCUGGUCAGUACCUGUAUGGGAGACCACCUGGGAAAACUAAGGCUGCUGCUGGAA
RNAcentral lists this ribosomal RNA (104 nucleotides) under Lepisosteus oculatus (spotted gar). The record is from RNAcentral. Lineage: Eukaryota; Metazoa; Chordata; Actinopteri; Semionotiformes; Lepisosteidae.